This 376-nucleotide ribosomal RNA is filed under the name uncultured bacterium. RNAcentral describes it as "bacterial SSU rRNA". It matches the Rfam family "Bacterial small subunit ribosomal RNA", at positions 524 to 898 of the family's 1533-position model. The record is from RNAcentral.
UACGUAGGUGGCAAGCGUUGUCCGGAUUUACUGGGCGUAAAGGGAGCGUAGGCGGAUACUUAAGUGGGAUGUGAAAUACCUGGGCUUAACUUGGGUGCUGCAUUCCACACUGGGUGUCUAGAGUGUUGGAGAGGAAAGUGGAAUUCCUAGUGUAGCGGUGAAAUGCGUAGAGAUUAGGAAGAACACCAGUGGCGAAGGCGACUUUCUGGACAAUAACUGACGCUGAGGCUCGAAAGCGUGGGGAGCAAACAGGAUUAGAUACCCUGGUAGUCCACGCCGUAAACGAUGGGUAAUAGGUGUAGGAGGUAUAGACUACUCAUGUGCCGCCGUUAACACAAUAAGUACCCCGCCUGGGGAGUACGGUCGCAAGAUUAAA